AUCCAGCUGACGAGUCCUGAAUAAGACGAAACACGCGUCCUGGAA
Molecule: non-coding RNA, 45 nt
Organism: Schistosoma mansoni
Lineage: Eukaryota; Metazoa; Platyhelminthes; Trematoda; Strigeidida; Schistosomatidae
Source: Rfam